Molecule: ribosomal RNA, 408 nt
Filed under: Triticum aestivum (bread wheat)
Lineage: Eukaryota; Viridiplantae; Streptophyta; Magnoliopsida; Poales; Poaceae
Description: partial small subunit ribosomal RNA
Source: RNAcentral
AUGCGCGUGGGAAAUGGUUCCGAAGUCGAUGUGAUCGCAGUCGGCACGCUACCUCUACAUCUACCUUCGGGAUUAGUAUUAGAUCUAAAUAAUUAUUAUUUGAUGCCAGUGUUGAGCAUGAACAUUAUAUCUGGAUCUUGUUUGAUGCGAGACGGUUAUUCAUUUAAAUCAGAGAAUAAUGGUUGUUCUAUUUAUAUGAGUAAUAUUUUUUAUGGUCAUGCACCCUUGAAGAGUGGUCUAUUUUUGAUGAAUCUUAAUAGUAGUGAUACACAUAUUCAUAAUGUUGAAGCCAAAAGAUGCAUAGUUGAUAAUGAUAGUGCAACUUAUUUGUGGCACUGCCAUUUAGAUCAUAUCUGUAUAAAGCGCAUGAAGAAAACUCAAUACUGGUGGACUUUUGGAAUCACUUGA